UCGGGAGUCGCUUUAUCUACUUUGUAUUUGUGCAUGGAAACCCGCUCCCUAAUGGGUGAGUGAGGGUUGUCUGAGGGGACUAGUAGAUCACCAAGAAAUGUUACACAAAAAGCCUCAAGUUAAAGAGGGCGCCCUUUUUGGACGGAAAGGUAAAAAAGGCUAGCUAUGGGAUAACUCCGCCUGUCGAGGCUGGCGAGAGAGAGGAAGUUUCCUAUCCGACAUCAUAAGACAAUUAAGCUUGAAAAAAAUAAGGUAUGUU
Molecule: long non-coding RNA, 259 nt
Filed under: Lathyrus oleraceus (garden pea)
Lineage: Eukaryota; Viridiplantae; Streptophyta; Magnoliopsida; Fabales; Fabaceae
Description: Pisum sativum (pea) long non-coding RNA (PSAT_LNC026584)
Source: RNAcentral